AACGUAGGACACAAGCGUUAUCCGGAGUUACUGGGCGUAAAGGGCGUGUAGGCGGACCUAUAAGUCUAUUCUGAAAGCUCCUGGCUAAACUGGGAGAGGCGAAUGGAGACUGUAGAUCUAGAGUGAGGAAGAGGAAAGUGGAAUUCCGCGUGUAGUGGUGAAAUGCGUAGAGAUGCGGAGGAACACCCGUGGCGAAGGCGGCCCACUGGGCCGGUACUGACGCUGAGGCGCGAAGGCGUGGGGAGCGAACGGG
RNAcentral lists this ribosomal RNA (253 nucleotides) under uncultured bacterium. RNAcentral describes it as "partial 16S ribosomal RNA". It matches the Rfam family "Bacterial small subunit ribosomal RNA", at positions 524 to 776 of the family's 1533-position model. The record is from RNAcentral.